Molecule: transfer RNA, 85 nt
Filed under: Bacillota bacterium
Lineage: Bacteria; Bacillati; Bacillota
Description: Firmicutes bacterium tRNA-Leu
Rfam family: tRNA
About the family: Transfer RNA (tRNA) molecules are approximately 80 nucleotides in length. Their secondary structure includes four short double-helical elements and three loops (D, anti-codon, and T loops). Further hydrogen bonds mediate the characteristic L-shaped molecular structure. tRNAs have two regions of fundamental functional importance: the anti-codon, which is responsible for specific mRNA codon recognition, and the 3' end, to which the tRNAs corresponding amino acid is attached (by aminoacyl-tRNA synthetases). tRNAs cope with the degeneracy of the genetic code in two manners: having more than one tRNA (with a specific anti-codon) for a particular amino acid; and 'wobble' base-pairing, i.e. permitting non-standard base-pairing at the 3rd anti-codon position.
Source: RNAcentral
GCCGGAGUGGCGGAAUGGCAGACGCGGGCGACUUAAAAUCGCUUGGGCGAUCCCCGUGCGGGUUCAAGUCCCGCCUCCGGCACCA